RNAcentral lists this ribosomal RNA (465 nucleotides) under uncultured bacterium. RNAcentral describes it as "partial 16S ribosomal RNA". It matches the Rfam family "Bacterial small subunit ribosomal RNA", at positions 28 to 507 of the family's 1533-position model. The record is from RNAcentral.
GACGAACGCUGGCGGCGUGCUUAACACAUGCAAGUCGAACGGAAAGGCCCUGCUUGCAGGGUACUCGAGUGGCGAACGGGUGAGUAACACGUGGGUGAUCUGCCCUGCACUUCGGGAUAAGCCUGGGAAACUGGGUCUAAUACCGGAUAGGAGCCAUUUUUAGUGUGAUGGUUGGAAAGUUUUUUCGGUGUAGGAUGAGCUCGCGGCCUAUCAGCUUGUUGGUGGGGUAAUGGCCUACCAAGGCGGCGACGGGUAGCCGGCCUGAGAGGGUGGACGGCCACAUUGGGACUGAGAUACGGCCCAGACUCCUACGGGAGGCAGAAGUGGGGAAUAUUGCACAAUGGGCGCAAGCCUGAUGCAGCGACGCCGCGUGGGGGAUGACGGCCUUCGGGUUGUAAACUCGUUUCGCUAGGGACGAAGCUUUUUGUGACGGUACCUAGAUAAGAAGCACCGGCUAACUACGUG